Molecule: ribosomal RNA, 432 nt
Filed under: uncultured bacterium
Lineage: Bacteria
Description: partial 16S ribosomal RNA
Rfam family: Bacterial small subunit ribosomal RNA
Source: RNAcentral
AACGAACGCUGGCGGCAUGCCUAACACAUGCAAGUCGAACGAGACCUUCGGGUCUAGUGGCGCACGGGUGCGUAACGCGUGGGAACCUGCCCUUAGGUUCGGAAUAACUCCCCGAAAGGGGUGCUAAUACCGGAUAAUGUCUUCGGACCAAAGAUUUAUCGCCUUUGGAUGGGCCCGCGUUGGAUUAGCUAGUUGGUAGGGUAAAAGCCUACCAAGGCGACGAUCCAUAGCUGGUCUGAGAGGAUGAUCAGCCACACUGGGACUGAGACACGGCCCAGACUCCUACGGGAGGCAGCAGUGGGGAAUAUUGGACAAUGGGCGAAAGCCUGAUCCAGCAAUGCCGCGUGAGUGAUGAAGGCCUUAGGGUUGUAAAGCUCUUUUACCCGGGAUGAUAAUGACAGCACCGGGAGAAUAAGCGCCGGCUAACUCCGU